AGCGAACGCUGGCGGCAGGCUUAACACAUGCAAGUCGAGCGGGCGUAGCAAUACGUCAGCGGCAGACGGGUGAGUAACGCGUGGGAACGUACCUUUUGGUUCGGAACAACACAGGGAAACUUGUGCUAAUACCGGAUAAGCCCUUACGGGGAAAGAUUUAUCGCCGAAAGAUCGGCCCGCGUCUGAUUAGCUAGUUGGUGAGGUAACGGCUCACCAAGGCGACGAUCAGUAGCUGGUCUGAGAGGAUGAUCAGCCACAUUGGGACUGAGACACGGCCCAGACUCCUACGGGAGGCAGCAGUGGGGAAUAUUGGACAAUGGGCGAAAGGCCUGAUCCAGCAAUGCCGCGUGAGUGAUGAAGGCCUUAGGGUUGUAAAGCUCUUUUACCCGGGAUGAUAAUGACAGUACCGGGAGAAUAAGCCCCGGGCUAACUCCGUGCCAGCAGCCGCGGUAA
RNAcentral lists this ribosomal RNA (453 nucleotides) under uncultured bacterium. Its description in RNAcentral is "bacterial SSU rRNA". It matches the Rfam family "Bacterial small subunit ribosomal RNA", at positions 29 to 523 of the family's 1533-position model. The record is from RNAcentral.